Molecule: transfer RNA, 77 nt
Filed under: Salmonella enterica
Lineage: Bacteria; Pseudomonadati; Pseudomonadota; Gammaproteobacteria; Enterobacterales; Enterobacteriaceae
Description: tRNA-Ile
Rfam family: tRNA
About the family: Transfer RNA (tRNA) molecules are approximately 80 nucleotides in length. Their secondary structure includes four short double-helical elements and three loops (D, anti-codon, and T loops).
Source: RNAcentral
UGUCUCAUAGCUCAGUAGGCCAGAGCGUUCCCCUGAUAAGGGAAAGGUCACUAGUUCGAAUCUAGUUGAGACAACCA